UAUGUGUUGUUGGGUAGGGGAGCGUUCUGUAAGCCGUUGAAGGUGUGCUGUGAGGCAUGCUGGAGGUAUCAGAAGUGCGAAUGCUGACAUAAGUAACGAUAAAGCGGGUGAAAAGCCCGCUCGCCGGAAGACCAAGGGUUCCUGUCCAACGUUAAUCGGGGCAGGGUGAGUCGACCCCUAAGGCGAGGCCGAAAGGCGUAGUCGAUGGGAAACAGGUUAAUAUUCCUGUACUUGGUGUUACUGCGAAGGGGGGACGGAGAAGGCUAUGUCAGCCGGGCGACGGUUGUCCCGGUUUAAGCAUGUAGGCGGAGGUUCCAGGUAAAUCCGGUACCUUUUAACGCUGAGGUGUGAUGACGAGGCACUACGGUGCUGAAGUGAUAAAUGCCCUGCUUCCAGGAAAAGCCUCUAAGCAUCAGGUAACACGAAAUCGUACCCCAAACCGACACAGGUGGUCAGGUAGAGAAUACCAAGGCGCUUGAGAGAACUCGGGUGAAGGAACUAGGCAAAAUGGUGCCGUAACUUCGGGAGAAGGCACGCUGAUA
RNAcentral lists this ribosomal RNA (542 nucleotides) under Enterobacter cloacae. RNAcentral describes it as "bacterial LSU rRNA". It matches the Rfam family "Bacterial large subunit ribosomal RNA", at positions 1215 to 1756 of the family's 2925-position model. Lineage: Bacteria; Pseudomonadati; Pseudomonadota; Gammaproteobacteria; Enterobacterales; Enterobacteriaceae. RNAcentral also lists the same sequence under 2 other names. The record is from RNAcentral.